Molecule: ribosomal RNA, 1138 nt
Filed under: Bacteroides fragilis
Lineage: Bacteria; Pseudomonadati; Bacteroidota; Bacteroidia; Bacteroidales; Bacteroidaceae
Description: bacterial SSU rRNA
Rfam family: Bacterial small subunit ribosomal RNA
Source: RNAcentral
AGAGUUUGAUCCUGGCUCAGGAUGAACGCUAGCUACAGGCUUAACACAUGCAAGUCGAGGGGCAUCAGGAAGAAAGCUUGCUUUCUUUGCUGGCGACCGGCGCACGGGUGAGUAACACGUAUCCAACCUGCCCUUUACUCGGGGAUAGCCUUUCGAAAGAAAGAUUAAUACCCGAUGGCAUAAUGAUUCCGCAUGGUUUCAUUAUUAAAGGAUUCCGGUAAAGGAUGGGGAUGCGUUCCAUUAGGUUGUUGGUGAGGUAACGGCUCACCAAGCCUUCGAUGGAUAGGGGUUCUGAGAGGAAGGUCCCCCACAUUGGAACUGAGACACGGUCCAAACUCCUACGGGAGGCAGCAGUGAGGAAUAUUGGUCAAUGGGCGCUAGCCUGAACCAGCCAAGUAGCGUGAAGGAUGAAGGCUCUAUGGGUCGUAAACUUCUUUUAUAUAAGAAUAAAGUGCAGUAUGUAUACUGUUUUGUAUGUAUUAUAUGAAUAAGGAUCGGCUAACUCCGUGCCAGCAGCCGCGGUAAUACGGAGGAUCCGAGCGUUAUCCGGAUUUAUUGGGUUUAAAGGGAGCGUAGGUGGACUGGUAAGUCAGUUGUGAAAGUUUGCGGCUCAACCGUAAAAUUGCAGUUGAUACUGUCAGUCUUGAGUACAGUAGAGGUGGGUAAGAUUCGUGGUGUAGCGGUGAAAUGCUUAGAUAUCACGAAGAACUCCGAUUGCGAAGGCAGCUCACUGGACUGCAACUGACACUGAUGCUCGAAAGUGUGGGUAUCAAACAGGAUUAGAUACCCUGGUAGUCCACACAGUAAACGAUGAAUACUCGCUGUUUGCGAUAUACAGUAAGCGGCCAAGCGAAAGCAUUAAGUAUUCCACCUGGGGAGUACGCCGGCAACGGUGAAACUCAAAGGAAUUGACGGGGGCCCGCACAAGCGGAGGAACAUGUGGUUUAAUUCGAUGAUACGCGAGGAACCUUACCCGGGCUUAAAUUGCAGUGGAAUGAUGUGGAAACAUGUCAGUGAGCAAUCACCGCUGUGAAGGUGCUGCAUGGUUGUCGUCAGCUCGUGCCGUGAGGUGUCGGCUUAAGUGCCAUAACGAGCGCAACCCUUAUCUUCAGUUACUAACAGGUCAUGCUGAGGACUC